Molecule: ribosomal RNA, 253 nt
Filed under: uncultured bacterium
Lineage: Bacteria
Description: partial 16S ribosomal RNA
Rfam family: Bacterial small subunit ribosomal RNA
Source: RNAcentral
UACGAAGGGGGCUAGCGUUACUCGGAAUUAUUGGGCGUAAAGCGUGCGUAGGCUGUUUAGUAAGUUGGUAGUGAAAUCCUUGAGCUCAACUCAAGAACUGCUUCCAAUACUGCUAGGCUUGAGUUCUAAAGGGGAUAGCGGAAUUCCUAGUGUAGAGGUGAAAUUCGUAGAUAUUAGGAGGAACACCGGUGGCGAAAGCGGCUAUCUGGGUAGAAACUGACGCUGUUGCACGAAAGCGUGGGGAGCAAACAGG